This is a long non-coding RNA of Bactrocera oleae (olive fruit fly), 1642 nucleotides long. RefSeq lists it as uncharacterized. The record is from RefSeq and is a predicted model, not a curated record. Lineage: Eukaryota; Metazoa; Arthropoda; Insecta; Diptera; Tephritidae.
UGUGGAUUAUCUUGUCAAUCGAAAUUUUAAUAUAAUAAUUUUCAAACUAAAAUAUAAAAUUCAAACAAAGAAAAAGUAAAUGCUUAUGUCACAAUUGGAAACCGGACCGCAGAUUAAAAGAUUUUUUUACAACUAUAUUCAAAUCAAGUGAAAUAGAGCAGAAAUAUGGCCAAAUGAAUACAAAACCAGAUAAGACAAGAAAGCUGAAGAUAAAAAUAAGCAAACAGUCCUUCAUAAAUGGUAAAGAAAGAACGCUUGUGAAUAAUCAAGAAGAAAUAAAAAACGAGAGAAAAGUAAUGAGUCAAAAGUCAUCACCAAACAUUGCCGAGAGAAGAAACACUACAAAUUUACUGUAUUGGAUUUGAAUGGCUCCACUCUUUAUUUGCCAGUGAAAUUCAAUAAACAACAAAAACCAAUUGCUUCUUGAGCGAUCUGCCAGUCAGCCGGGCGCGCUCCCUCUGGCACAGCAACGACGAGCGGUCAGUCACUAGCAGCAGUUGCUGUAUGGAUUGUACAUCAUGUACUCGCAGUUGCAACAAAUGCUCAGUCAUGUACCAAUUUGUAGCACUUGCAGCAACUAAUCAAAAGCAAGCAGCUGUUGCAAAUGCACUAAAUGAAUGAAUAGUUUACGUCCGUUGCCGGCUACUAUGGCUAGUGCACGGUGGCUGUUGACUGCUGGCUGGUGCGCACUCUAAAAAUUGACGAGCUGUAAUUUUUCGCAAAUGCUUGCAUUUGUAACAACUGUAGUCAAAAGCGAGAGCAUAACUAUUCAUUUCCAGCAGAUUGUUGUGCAGUGUUGCACUUUGAUUUGCAUGUAUCACAUAAGCUGCAUUUCCCAGAAUUUCUGAUUAACCCUUUUUUGAUUUAAAAUCUGUGCGAAAUCGUAAAAGUUUCACAGUUCAUGGAAGCAUGUGGUGCACCGACACACAUUGCGCUUUCUUCGCUGGAUUCAUUGAGCUACAUUGAAUUCGGUGGAAGUACCGAUAUGAAGUGAGAGUAUAAAAGUAACAAACUAAGAGACUCUUAUUUUAAAAUAUACUAUCUAUUACUUUUAAUUCAUUCACGACUCACGACUCACAAAUGGUAAGUAAAAACAGCAAAGAAGCCACCUGAAUACCUUCGAGAAACAAAAGCAUCAAGAUAAAAGUAAUAUUUCACUUCAGAUGAAAUAGCAGAAGUAAUGAAACUUUACGAAGUUCUAUACACCAGUGUUCCAACUGGGAUUUAAACCAACCUACAGAAAUAUAAAUUAAUUAUGAUUGUGAGUGCUACAAGUAUUAGGUUGAACUUAAGUGCCCACUAGACCAUACAGAAAGAAACUGGAACAAAAGUACUAAACUUAGGUUUAGGCCUAUAAAAAACUGGCUAGAGGGAACUGAAAAUGCUGGGGUUUCUUCCUCCAGAAUCAAAGCAAUAGAGGAAGUAAAAGGUUCAUAUGUUUUCUUACUAUUUUUGAUCAAUUUCAAUUCCGUUCAAUUUUUCAAUUAUUUCGGUGUUUAUUUAAAUUUUUAUGGCACUAAAGCUUGCGGGGCCUCUGCAACUUACGCAUAAAAUUUAUAAAUUUCACAGUACUUUGAGGUUACUGUUACACCAAUUAAAAAAAUUGAAUUAAAUAUAAAUUCCAGCAGCAGAGAAAAGAAAA